Molecule: ribosomal RNA, 944 nt
Filed under: uncultured crenarchaeote
Lineage: Archaea; Thermoproteati; Thermoproteota
Description: bacterial SSU rRNA
Rfam family: Archaeal small subunit ribosomal RNA
Source: RNAcentral
UUCCGGUUGAUCCUGCCGGACCCCACUGCUAUCGGGAUGGGACUAAGACAUGCUAGUCGUGCGCCUCCAGGCCACGGUGGAGGCGCGGCGCACAGCUCAGUAACACGUGGCUAACCUACCCUUGGGACGGGGAUAACCCCGGGAAACUGGGGCUAAUCCCCGAUAGGUGAGGGCGCCUGGAAUGGGCCCUUGCUGAAAGGGCGUCUAGACCAUGCCUCUAGACGCCGCCCAAGGAUGGGGCCGCGGCCGAUCAGGUAGUUGGUGAGGUAACGGCUCACCAAGCCUAUAACCGGUACGGGCCGUGGGAGCGGGAGCCCGGAGAUGGGCACUGAGACAAGGGCCCAGGCCCUACGGGGCGCAGCAGUCGCGAAACCUCCGCAAUGCGCGAAAGCGCGACGGGGCCAUCCCGAGUGCCGCCCGCUGAGGGUGGCUUUUCCCCGGUGUAGACAGCCGGGGGAAUAAGGGGAGGGCAAGCCGGGUGUCAGCCGCCGCGGUAAUACCCGCUCCCCGAGUGGUGGGGACGCUUAUUGGGCCUAAAGCAUCCGUAGCCGGCUAGGCAAGUCCCCUGUUAAAUCCAGCGAUUCAAUCGCUGGCCUGCGGGGGAUACUGCCUAGCUAGGGGCGGGAGAGGCCGGCGGUAUUCCCGGGGUAGGGGUGAAAUCCUAUAAUCCCGGGAGGACCACCAGUGGCGAAGGCUGCCGGCUAGAACGCGCCCGACGGUGAGGGAUGAAAGCUGGGGGAGCGAACCGGAUUAGAUACCCGGGUAGUCCCAGCUGUAAACGAUGCGGGCUAGGUGUUGGCACGGCUACGAGCCGUGUCAGUGCCGCAGGGAAGCCGUUAAGCCCGCCGCCUGGGGAGUACGGCCGCAAGGCUGAAACUUAAAGGAAUUGGCGGGGGAGCACCACAAGGGGUGAAGCCUGCGGUUUAAUUGGAUUCAACGCCGGA